This 253-nucleotide ribosomal RNA is filed under the name uncultured bacterium. Its description in RNAcentral is "partial 16S ribosomal RNA". It matches the Rfam family "Bacterial small subunit ribosomal RNA", at positions 524 to 776 of the family's 1533-position model. The record is from RNAcentral.
UACGUAGGGUCCGAGCGUUGUCCGGAAUCACUGGGCGUAAAGGGCGCGUAGGCGGCCUGAUAAGUAGGGGGUGAAAUCUUGCGGCUUAACCGCAAGGCUGCCUUCUAAACUGUCAGGCUAGAGCACAGUAGAGGCAGGUGGAAUUCCCGGUGUAGCGGUGGAAUGCGUAGAGAUCGGGAAGAACAUCAGUGGCGAAGGCGGCCUGCUGGGCUGUUGCUGACGCUGAGGCGCGACAGCGUGGGGAGCAAACAGG